ACGGGGAGCUCGAGGGGGAAAACAGAAAGGGAAAAGAAAGGAAGGGGAAAGAGGGAAGGCAGGGGAAAAACGGAGAACAGGGAGAAAGAGUGAUGGAACAGAGUAAGAAGAGAGGAAGGAGGAUCGCUAUUGUCUCUGGAAGGUUGUCACUGACGUCGAACAGAACAGGGGAGAGGAGCGCGAAUUGGAAGAGGAAAGGGAGCUCUGUUGUGGGCUCGUUGCCAGGAAAAGAAGAGGCGAUGUUGGUGGGGAUCGCCGCUGGUGUCGUCGCCGUGACUGGGGUUCGUGGUCGCUACUGCUGUUGGUGACGGACUAGGUCGCGUCCUAGCUGCCGGAGCCGCCAUCACCGUGGCUUUGUUACUUUGGGUCAACCAUGUCUCUGCCUUUGAUGUACCUUGUCGUGCCAUAUCCGUUGGAGCUGCCGUGGUUGGAGCUUGCUAUCAGAGAAAACAAUUUGCUGCCACCAUCUUUCAAUCUGGCCAGCAUCAUCCUCUUUGUUCCAGUCCCAAUGCCAAUUUUCUGUUUCUUAAACCUUUGUCAGUUUAUCUCCUGAGAAAUCACAAUUGGUGUUGAGGUCGUUGAUGUUGCUGCUGUUAUGCUGUAGCUAGCUGCAAGAGUUUUACUGCUGCGGGUUAGAAAUUGAUGGUUGCUGCAUCCCAAAAUUCUGUGGAUUUCGAUAAAUCGAGUGACACAGGUUUGAAGACGCAAUUUGAAGCUGCGAGCGAUUAGUAGGUUUUCUUUAUGGUUUUAAUUGCUUUCAUAGAGUCCCCUCGCUCUUGUCCUUUGAAGUUUUAUUUUAUUAGAGGGGUAGGUAUUGUAUUUUGGUUUAUAUGACUUCCUAUGUAUAAGAAUUACUAAUAAUAAUACCUCUGUGAUUGUUAUUACUAUUUGCAAUGUUUAUCCUUGAUGCAUGUCUUUAAUGAAUAAAAACAAAAUUUUCUAGCAUUUCCUUAAAACUAAAACGCGAAAUCGAUACAAAGGCUCAGUAAUUAAGUAGUUAAUAUUAGAAAAGGUCACGUAACGUUCUUUCUAGUAGAAAUACCCUGACUUAAGCAAGGUAUUUUGCUGGAAGGGAUGUUACAAGGUCUAACCUUGUCUGUGGUAUUCUGAGUAGGAUUCAAUGAUUGAAUGACUGUGACGUGCUUCAAACUCCUGAGGGCGGGGCGUUAGUGACAGACGCAAAAGAAUCACUGGAUUCUAUUCCGGCCUGAUUGAGAACCGACAGAUGAAUUUCGCUAUGCUGUGACAGAGCAUAUGCAAUCGCUUUCAAUGAGAGGAUGGGAGGUAGCCACUGACAAUGGUGAAACCCUACACGAGCUUGCCAUGGAAAGGAGUAAGAAGGAUUGGAUGAAGACAGUAGGAAAGCAGAGAGACGGAAGGGAAGGCAUCUUCAUGCGCUUAUCUGAAGUUCCUACCAAUGAAUUACAUAAGUAUCUCUAUCUUUAUCUUUUAUGUUAUUUUCGUUCAUCACCAUACCCAUUUGAGUCUGCCUGACUGAGAUUUACAAGAUGACCAUAGCUUGCUUCAUACCACCAAUCUCCGUGGGAUCGACCCUUACUCGCGUAAGGUUUAUUACUUGGACGACCCAGUGCACUUGCUGGUUAGUUGUGCGAAGUUGUGUUUAUGCCAUGGUAUUGAGCACCAAGUCUUUGGAGCAAUUACUAGGGAUUGUUUGUGUUUUGAAAAGUAGUGAUCACAAUUUCGUGCACCAAGUUUUUGGCGCCGUUGCCGGGGAUUGUUCUUGAGUAUGGACAACUGACGGUUCAUCUUGUUGCUUAGAUUAGGCAUUUAUUUUUUUUUCGAAGUUCUUGAAGAUGAAUUCUAGAGUUUCAUGAUGAUUUGUUGAAAUCUGGUUGGCUGUGAAGCCAUGUCUAAUUUCAUUGGACCGAGGUUUCAACUUAUCAUCACAAGAGCUUGUUGAUUUUUUAUCAAUCUUGCUUUUGGAGCAGUGAUCUGCUAAGGCUUGGCUGGCCUUUGGCCAUGUCUAGUGUUUUGGACCGAAGCUUUCUUUGAAAGCUUGGCUGGCUGUGAAGCCAUGUCUAAUUCCUGGACCGGAGUCUUAGACUAGCAUUGCACUGAUUCCUGGAAUUCUCAUUAAGAAUUUUGAUAUCUUUUUCCACUUAAUUUUCGAAAAUCACAAAAAAAAAAAAUUCACAAAAACCAUAAAAACCAAAAAUAUUUGAUGUUUCUUGCUUGAGUCUAGUGUCUCAUCCUAAGUUUGGUGUCAAUUGCAUGCAUUCAUUCAUGUGUCUUAAAGAUCUUCAAGUAAUUCUUGAUGAUUUCUUACUCUGAUCUUUGAAUUCUUUUGACUUGAGUGUUUAUGUGUCUCAUAUAGUGUCAAUAGUAUACAAACUGCUAAGUUUGGUGUCUUGCAUGCAUUGUUAUUUGAUUCUUGUUGCAUUUUGAUUAUUAAAAAUCCAAAAAUAUUUUUUUAUUUGUGUCUUUUCAAGUCAAUAAUACAGAGAAUUGAAGAUUCAGAACAUACUGCAGAGAAAUUAUACAGAAAAAGCUGGGCAUUCAAAAAUGCCCAGUGAAGAAGGCAGACUGGCGUUUAAACGCCAGCCAGGGUACCUGGUUGGGCGUUUAACGCCCAAAAAGGGUGCAUUUUGGGCGUUAAACGCCCAGAAUGGAUACCAUUCUGGGCGUUUAACGCCAGGAUGGUGCUAGGGGGAAGAUUUUGUUUUCAAAAUCAAUUUUUUUUCAAGUUUUCAAAGUUUUUCAAAAUCAAAUCUUUUUCAAAUCAUAUCUUUUCAA
Arachis stenosperma is the source of this 2754-nucleotide long non-coding RNA. RefSeq lists it as uncharacterized. NCBI's taxonomy places the organism in Eukaryota, Viridiplantae, Streptophyta, Magnoliopsida, Fabales, Fabaceae. The record is from RefSeq and is a predicted model, not a curated record. The transcript has 3 exons.